Molecule: long non-coding RNA, 518 nt
Filed under: Homo sapiens (human)
Lineage: Eukaryota; Metazoa; Chordata; Mammalia; Primates; Hominidae
Description: ZNF582 divergent transcript
Source: RNAcentral
CGGAUCUCGCGAUGUUUCAGGGCGGCUUUGGUGUCAUCAAAUGUGAGAAGCCCUGGACUUUACACAUCCCGAGCCAGUGUGAUCCAGUAUGAUUGGGAGUCCGAGUGCCAGAUGCCGGUCAGGACCUGUUAUGCUGGGUCUCAGAAUGCGGAAACUCUCCCUGUCCGAGGUGGAACAGUUUGUCCUUGAGUGAGGACUGGAGUCCUGAGUGACUCUUUUGAUUUGAUCCUGUUUCCCUCAAACCUGAGAUGGGAGCCUCACUGUAUUGCCCAGGCUGGUCUUGAACUCCGGAGCUCAAGUGAUCGUCUUGCUUCAGCCUUGCAAAAUGAUGGUGAAGCUGCAUCAUUGUCUGGGGUAAAUACCUGAGGUUCGUUGUCUCACGCCAAGGGAAUCAAGGACGUGGACACACAAGAAGUGAGUUUAAGAGCGGAGGUUUAAUAGGCGAAAGAGAAAAGAGAAUAGCUCUAGCUCCUGCAGAGAGAAAAGGGCUCCCAAGUAGGACUUCCAGUCCGUGGCGA